CCAAAACCCUUUACACACAACCCUCGACGGUCCCUCGCAACUCCCCUUCCCUUCGGCAAAAUCGCUCCCGCAAAACCCUCGGCGCACACUACCGAUAGACGUUUCCUCCGGUACCCGUUUCCUCCCUCACGCAAAAUCCCUUUCCUUUCGAUUCGAACGUCGGCCGUCUCCUCCCUCACGCAAAAUCAGUGCUCCCAAUAUUCUAUUUCACCGGCAAAAUCCAAAUCUCAUAAUCCAUUACUAGAAGAGAUGCCUUCCAAAAACAUCCAUAUUCUGUUCCACCGCAGAUUACAAUCUGACGAACCCCGCAAGAUACAGCGGCUGGGAUGAUAAUGGACUUGAUCAAAACAAGAAACAUCACCUGUUAGAUUUGAAUACACUGAAAGGUCACAGAGAUUCUGCCACUGGAUUAUGCUUCACUUCAAAUGGAAGUAAUCUGACGAGUGGUAACUUGGUUAAUCCUACUAUAUCAAACUUUUGUUCACUUGAUAUUACCUUUUGUUGUUGUAGCUUAUAUGCUUUGACGAAAGGGAAAUAUAUGUAACUAAGGUCAUAAUGUGAAUAUUGCCUCUGCCUACAUUUUAUUUGCGCUCAUGGCUAAAGAAUUUUCAAUUGAAACUCUCUUUGUAAAAUCAUUUUCCAAGCAAUAAUUUUAUGUCUUGCUGGUACAUGCUUGUAUCUCUGUUUGCUUCUUCUUAUCUUCUAAGCUACAAAUUUAUUGUAAAUGAAGUUUGAGUUGUGUGUUAUUGCUUCGUUUUUGGUUUAUGAAGAUUUUUGGUAGUUUAAAAUAAAGAUGUUUUGUGUUGGGGAUUAUUCAGGCUGCUUGUAUGUUUCUCUAAGUACAUAGGUUAAGGGUGCUUAUUGAGAUUAACUAGAGCUGUCAAUAAAUUUAAGCAUAUGCAGAAAAAUAGAAACUUGAAUUGUAGGCCUUCAAUUAGAACAUAUAAUCUACUUUUUACUGUCAAUAUAUUUAAGCAUAUGCAGAAAAAUAUAAUCUACUUUUAUCUGAAGCACUAUGACCAAGUACUUUCACAUUAUUGUCGAUGUUUUCUUAUAUGAUAGAGACCUCUUUGUGGGAGUUGAAUAACAAGAUAUCUUCUCCAAAAGAAGCUUGUAAUGCCUUAUGUCUUUUCUUAUCAAGUUCAAGGUCUUGUGCAAUUAUAGAAGUGUAGAAACAUUCUCAAUAAUUCAGCAAUCACUUUCACUUGGAUGCUUUCCAAGAGUAAAAGUGGUUUAUAUAUCAGAUAAGUACGAAGGGCAAGUUUAUGUUCUAGAGAUAAAUAUGGAAUAGCUGUGGUUUUUGUGAUGACACUCACAUCCUCUUUCCUAGUACUCAUAAUGGUAAUGAUAUGGAAAACUCACAUCCUUUUCAUAAUCACUUACAUUCUCACUAUUGGUACUGUGGAAUUGAUAUAUUUGAGUUUUGUCCUUUACAAGUUUGACCAAGGAGGCUAGCUCCCUUUAGCUUUUGCUACUGCAUUGAUGACAAUCAUGUAUGACUUGUGAACUUUAGAAGUUAUUUAUAGUCACUUUCAAUUCUGCUUUAGUUUCCCUUUUUAACAUCACAACUUAGUAUUAUUUUUGUACUUCCCUUGAUUUAAAUGUUAUUUCUAUAAUUUGUAAUUACGACGUUAUUUCUAUAGUUUGUAAUUAUGGGCCUUAUUUCUAUAGUUUGUAAUUAUGGGCCUUAUUUCUAUAGUUUGUAAUUAUGGGCCUAACCCAAUAUUAUUGAUUUCUUUUUUUUCCUCUUAAAAGAAGAAUCCAAUAUUUAAAAUUCAUUUAUAAGUGAUAUCCGACAGAGAAUGGCUGGGGGUAUGAAUAUUAAAAAAUUAACUUGUGUGUUUUUGUGGUUGUAUAAUGUUUAUAUGUGUAGAUUACCUGAAGAUGGAUUACAUUAACUUGCAACUUUUCAGACCAAUCUAUGACGGACAAAGCAUGGAGUUAAGUUUUGCCAGAAUCCAUUCGAGCAGCGAAGCCAUAUUUGUGGCAAUUCAUUGAUGUAUAGACAUUUUUGUAGGUUUGGUAGGAAAUUUUUUGGUUUAAAUGUAGUUAUUUAAAUAGUUUGUUCAUAACAAACCAUAUAUGUACUAACACUUAAAGCGAUAUUAUAAAGUGUAUAUUUCUUUA
Long non-coding RNA from Cucumis melo (muskmelon), 2127 nucleotides. RefSeq lists it as uncharacterized. The transcript has 5 exons. Lineage: Eukaryota; Viridiplantae; Streptophyta; Magnoliopsida; Cucurbitales; Cucurbitaceae. The record is from RefSeq and is a predicted model, not a curated record.